RNAcentral lists this long non-coding RNA (2426 nucleotides) under Cicer arietinum (chickpea). Its description in RNAcentral is "long non-coding RNA (CARI_LNC000806)". The record is from RNAcentral. Lineage: Eukaryota; Viridiplantae; Streptophyta; Magnoliopsida; Fabales; Fabaceae.
AUGUUACUGAAACGUUUGCAAUAGACCUGAAAGAUUCAACCAAUAUACAACUUCAAAGAAUGUAUAGAUUUUUAAAUUAAAGUUAUUUGUGGAAAAAAUAUCCAAGGGUAAGUGCACUCAUGAGCAACCUUGAAUUUAAGACUUUGAUACACAAUUGAUGCAAGUGUUAUAAACACCCCAAGAUCUAACCACAUUUAAACUAUUUGAUGUGCUAAAUUUAUAGUAAAAGAAAUCUAUUACAACAUAAUUUUAACUAUUCUCGUCCAAAGCAAGUGCAUGUCCUCCUGAAAAAUGCACAAGAUGUCAUUGCAAAAACAUGGUAGAUUGCUAAUUGGCUGUUAGAGGUAUUUGUUUCCAUAGAAUACUUAUACAUAGUUUUGGAGACACAAGUUUAACUCACAAAGUAAUACUUCUAUGAUGGAACUAACCGUGUAAAUCUUACACAGUCCUAAUCUUGCACGAAAACAAUUUGACAGGAUACUAACCAUGGAAUAGGGAAGGAAAUGGAAAGUUGGGACACCUGUUUUCAUUGUUUCUUGUAGAAAUCUUGGAAACAGGAAACAAAUAGAAAACAAUUUGACAGUUUUGACAGUUUUGCAAUUAUAAUUAUAAGUAAAAGAGACAUGAUAACAGUAAACGUUUUUUGAAAACCAAACAGACAGCAUAUCAUUGUAGUAUCUAUCUAUUUUCCUGAAGUUCAAUACAUGGAUCCAGAAAAUGCAUUCUUCCAAAUACAAACAGUGAAGGGCAAUGAUAGUUAAGGAAGACAGCAAAUGAAAAUUUAAACGGUUAUAUAUAAUGUAUGCAUGUUAAAAAUAGCGAAGUACCAUCGAUUAUGUCUGAAACACUAACACAACACUCACAAUUGGACAAAAUAACUACAAAGAAUACAGCAUUGCUUUAAAACUCUGAUCAACCUAACUACACUCCAAAGUAAACACCAUCAGAGAUUAUACAAUGUGGAGUGUAAUUAUAACAAAUCAAACAAGAGGGUUAGACUCCAGAAACACUGAAAAGAAGCAACCGUUCUUCCUUUUAAGAAACACGGUAUGAUGGGAUUAUAUAAUACUCCAUGAAGCAUUGACUUUUAAUAUCUCAGAGAUGAAUCAAUAUUGUUGUUGUAAUGUGAGCAUUUGAAGUAUUUCAAAGCAGAAAGAGAACUGAGAAAUAGCAUCAUAUGAUAUUUUUUCUUUAAAGCCAACUAAUUGAAAUAGAGAGAACAAUCCACUUUCCCCACUUUUCUUGAGUAUCAUUGAGGGUAUUUAUAAAGAAGAACACUACGAUGAUAUCAUAGUUAACAAUAAUACCAUAAAGGAAAUGUGUGACCUUCAUCAUUCAUAUAUAUAAUUGUUUCCUCAAAUCUUGGUUUCUGUAAAAUUAAUUAAGGAACAUUCCCCAUUGCCUCAUUAGCUACUUGAACUGCAUUUCUGAUAUAUUCAGGAUUGCCCUUGUAACAUUUUUAUUUUAAACACAAUUGUUUCACCAUGCUUUUUCCCUUCUCUGUACCAAUUUAACAAGCUACACUACCUCCUUAUAUAUACAAAAAUUGUAUCUAUCUAAUAUGUAGAUUUUAAGGCAAUGUAGUGAAAAACGUGUACUUAACAAUGUCCCAAAGUAAAUGCCCUGGCAUGAAAUUUAACUAUCAAAUGUUUAAACACCCAAACAUCAUUAGAGUCCAAAACACAAACUAAAAAAAAUUAAACAGCUGAUCAAAGCAAAAUUGAUUGAGCAAUAGAAUACAAAAAAAUUACCUUGUCAUAAAAUUCGGAAUGGAAAGCCAGAUACAUAACAAGAGAGAGCAGCAGCAAAAAAGAGAUGUCAUGUCAAAAUAACGAACAGCAGGGGGGAAUGGAGCACCCUAAUGUAGGCCAAACCAUAACUCAGAAGGAAGCAGCAAGAUUCCUUCUCACUAGUCCACUACCCAGCCCACUGCAACAAGGGAAGCAGUGUAGAACAAACUAAAGACACAAGCAAUGACAAUUGCAGGUCAAAUUACUAAGAAAACAGAGAUAAAAUUACUAGAACCUAAAAUAAUAUAGAGAUCAAAAUUGAAACCUUAAAAUUUUAGAAAAAUAAAGGAGAAGGACAAAAGAAGAGUUGACAAGGCAGCUUACCAAUGGUAAAAUUUAAGGGUGAAGUGGUGAAAGGGAGAGUGAGAAAGGCAACACAAUCAAAUAAGCUAUGUGAUGUGAUGGAUGCGACUCAACUAUGAAGAGAGAAAAGAAGCAAAGCUUCUUCGACAAAGAAAAUGGCAAUGAUAAAGCAACAACAGCUCACUUUUGCAAUUAUGAGAAGUUCAAAAUGCUCAGUUGAUUAAACAUUAUCAGGACUCAAAUAAUACUUUCAACAAGUUACAGGCAAUCAAUCUGCACCCUUACUAGUGGACCAUAUGUUAUGGUACUCCACCCUAGAAGCCACCACAAAAC